AACGAACGCUGGCGGCAGGCUUAACACAUGCAAGUCGAGCGCCCCGCAAGGGGAGCGGCAGACGGGUGAGUAACGCGUGGGAACGUGCCCUUUGGUUCGGAACAACUCCGGGAAACUGGAGCUAAUACCGGAUAAGCCCUUCGGGGGAAAGAUUUAUCGCCAAAGGAUCGGCCCGCGUCUGAUUAGCUAGUUGGUGGGGUAAUGGCCCACCAAGGCGACGAUCAGUAGCUGGUCUGAGAGGAUGAUCAGCCACACUGGGACUGAGACACGGCCCAGACUCCUACGGGAGGCAGCAGUGGGGAAUAUUGGACAAUGGGCGCAAGCCUGAUCCAGCCAUGCCGCGUGAGUGAUGAAGGCCUUAGGGUUGUAAAGCUCUUUUGUCCGGGAAGAUAAUGACUGUACCGGAAGAAUAAGCCCCGGCUAACUUCGUGCCAGCAGCCGCCGUAACAC
Molecule: ribosomal RNA, 450 nt
Filed under: uncultured bacterium
Lineage: Bacteria
Description: bacterial SSU rRNA
Rfam family: Bacterial small subunit ribosomal RNA
Source: RNAcentral